CCAUUCCACCCACACUUUGUCAGUUUUCCCCCUUCUAUCUCACUCACUAUUAUCUCCCAAUUUUCGCACACUCCCUCUUCCUCGAAACCCUAGCUCUCUCCUCCUUCCUCUUCCGCUCUCUUUCCACGGCCACCACCGCCUCCCUCUCCUCCGCUCACUCCCGCUACUAUCUCUCUCUCACUAACCGCCUCCGCCCCCUCGGCGGCGCCAUCAUCUCCACUGACAAUUUCUCUCUCUACAAAUCAAACACAUUUUCAGCAAAGCAAACUCAAACAAGUGUCCUUCUCUAAUCCCCAUCCCUUCCGUCAAGCCCUAGUUCCAGCAAGCCAAGGAGAAUGCACCUCCGCCUUCAGAUCUAAUUCAUCAUCCUUUUGAUUCUCACAGACGGAGAUUCCCAAUUCAUUCACACGGAUUCUUUAAAGAAUCGAUUCACGAUGACCCCUUUUUAUCUCGAUUCAAUUUCCCCAGGUAGUGUUUGUUUGAUUUUUGGUACAUGGAAAUGAAUUAUGUUCCAUUUUGUGUGGUUUCAGUUUUAGAUUUCAAUUUUAAUUUUUUUUUUGUUUGGGGUUUCAUUUGAGGGCGAUGGCUAUGACGGUGAAGCAAAUGGCCUUUUUUGGAGGUGGAUUACCCCUCGUGAACCACCUGGCAAAAAUGUGGAGGAGUGGGGAAGUGGUUUUGAUACUUGAAGAUGACCAUGAAUUGGUUUCACUUGAUAUUGUGAGCAAACAGCUUAAAAAUUUUGGGAUUUCUACAUAUCAGGGUUGUCAUGUUGGCUCGUAUGAAGAGAGCCUACUCUUGCUUGACAGGAAGGAUGCAAUUUCUUACUGAGGGGAAAGAAGAGGUUAAGGUGAUAAGUUAUAUAACUAGCUUCGUGUUUAAAUGCAUAUGCAGCUAAGUUUAUUUGACAUGUGACUGCUGAAUUUUAGCUCAAAACAAAGUUUAGUAUUCUACAAGUGUUAAUUUUUUCUUUGUAUACAGUUGCUCUAUUUUUAGAUUUCUGGGUGUCUUGUUGUCAGCUUGCUUUCGAUAUUGUUUUGUAGAAUUUCCUGUCUUAGGUAGUUAGUUGAUUGGAUUUCUUGCUUAUGUUGUCUGAAAAUAGAACUUUGUAACUAGUUUAAUAGGAAUGAUGCAAUCCUACUCCAAUAAACAAGCUCAGAGCGAAAAUAAAAAAAAUUUAAAAAUUUGGACAAGAUGUUAAAGGUGAUACAUGGUUAUGCUGCACCUAUUAUCACUGCUUGCAGUUUCAUGUUUUAUGUAGCACCGCUUGGUAGUGCCAUGCAAAGGACUAUGGUCUCUCUGGAGCUGCUAAUGCUACUUAAGUGUACUUGAUAUAACACAUUAUUAUUUGCUGUUCUACUAAAAGUCUAGAACUAUAAAAAUGUUCAUGCAAUGGAUGCUUUAAUCAAUUUAGCUUUGCUUUAUACUACAUUCCCAUUUGGAUAGACAUCAGUAUAACAUAACCUGAUCAAAUGAGCACUAGACCAGCGGGGAUAAGGUGAUACUUUGAAAACCUGCAGCAUGAAUUAAAAUAGGACACGGUAGUGGUAUAACUUAUAGCUCUAAUUUCUGCAGUUUUAAAUUCAUUUUUAAUAUCUAGACUCUAUGUACAUGUAGUGGUUUUUUUCUUUCUUUUUCCUUUGUUAGGUUGAAGCAUCUCCAAGUUAUCUUACAGGCUUCAUGCUUUGGAAAUCUUGAGCAACUAUUCAUUCUACGUCUGUCUUCAAACCAUAAACUGCACAAGUUACCUUUACGUCAAUCUUUCAUGCCUGUGUACGAAGUGGACUCAUAGUAAGAGUAUGCUAUCAGAUGUAUGUAAGAACCAUUGAAACUUGUAUGGUUGCAUACUUGCAUCCAUCAUUAUUGGACUCUCCUCUUUCUAUGUAUGCAUAAAUAUAUGUAUGUGGAUAGUAUGCUGCUGAAUGUGAAAUUGAAAUCCUUAUGAUGGAUGUUAAUUAUAUAUUUUGUUACAUUGCUAUGAAGAACCAUUUUAGUGUGCUGCAUAUGUGGGUCAAUGUUUAUCUUUCAUGUUAUAUAUAGACGCUGCCAUAGUUGAUGGAAGAAGCAUACAUCUAAUUUGUAUAUGGUAUGGAUAUGUAGGUUGUAAAACUAAAAGCUUUCUCCAAGUUUGAGAAUAUGUCGAUACAAGCUCAAGUUCAGUGCUGAUAAGAAGUGACAGCAACAUUUCUUGUGUUGGUCGUAUUGCCAUUCAAUCAUUCUGUGUUCCACAGUGUGGUAUUCCAGCCUGGAAUGGGACAUGCUUUCCUUCCUUAGAUCUCUAAAAAGCAUACUACAAUCUUCAAUGCAGUUGUUGUGACAUUCCCGCCUAGUCUUCUUUCAUCAUCAUCCUCCUCUACAAGAUGGUAGCACAUGGCAUCCUCCCUUUAAUACUAUUACAUGCGCACUCUCGCGCUGGUCAAGAGAUUCGAUUCUGUUAAGUCAUUGCCCUCUACUUUUAACUACUUUUUGUGAUUUGAAGUUGCAAUUUAAGUGGAUAUCUGUGAAACUAGUUCUCAACUCAUUGGCACAUGUUUUUGCUAGGUUCAUUCGCAGCUACACCAAGGACUGGAAAUUCAAGUUACAAGUAUUUUUAUCUUAUAACAAACUGCUAUUUUUUUCUCCUUUUCUUUUUAUUGUAUCUACAAACAGAGCAACUUGUCUUCAUAUGGUUUAUUUAGGAGACUUUAAUCUUGUUCUUUUCUUUUGCUAUUGUGUAUGGAGAAGUUUAGGCCAUAUGUCCCCUUCUCCCUACUCUUUGUACUGUUUUCAUCAAUAAUAUUAAUGAGCAUUUUCUUUUGCUUACCA
This is a long non-coding RNA of Rosa rugosa (rugosa rose), 2802 nucleotides long. RefSeq lists it as uncharacterized. The record is from RefSeq and is a predicted model, not a curated record. NCBI's taxonomy places the organism in Eukaryota, Viridiplantae, Streptophyta, Magnoliopsida, Rosales, Rosaceae. The transcript has 4 exons.